GCUCUAAACUCUGGCUCCGCAGGAGUUAACAACUUUGCCUCAACAUUAAAGAACACACAAUGUCACAUAUAAGACUUCAGAAUGUAACCCUGCAGCUGCUCAGUGGAACAGACAGACUGUCACAGAAACCGAUUAAGAGUGAAGAGGAAGCAGAGAAGGAGGAAGAAAGUGAAGAUGUGAGACAAAGAGAGGAGACGUGUCAGCAGCACGUCCAUGUGAAUGGAGAGAGAGAAGAGAAGGAGGAGGAAGACGAGCAUGAGGAUGAUUCUAACAGAGUGGGCGAGACUGUGAAGGAUCAGGAAGUAUCAACAGAGAAGCAGGCAGAGGCAGCAAGUGAGUCAAAGACACAGGCAGAGACUUUAGAGAAAACUGAUCCCAACCCAGCUUCAGCCGCUGAACCCAAACAACCAGAGACACCAGCAGCUGAGGCUGCAGCAGAGUCUACAGUACAAGAGGAGCAGGUGGAGCUCUCUUUUCCAGAAACCUCUACACAGGAAAAAGACACCAACAGGUCUGCAGAGUCACAAGACGAACCUGAAGAGAGACCUCCACCUGCAGACCGACAGGAAAGUGUGUCAGAAGUAAAAGCUGCAGCGAGCAGCGAGAUGAAGCAGGAGUGUGUGGAGGACAGAGAGCACGAAGGAGAAAUACAAGCUGACUCUCAGAAAGCUUUUUCACCCCCCGGUUAACCCCCCUCCACCCCCGAACGCCCUUCAAAAGAGCUCAGGAGAAGACGUGAGUCUGACUGGGGGAAUGGGUGAGGAAAAUGGAGAGGAGCCAUUUUUCCAGAACACAAAUCCUGCAAAAACCCCCCGCAGCUCCCAGUGAGGAGGAAGAGGAGGAUGAGAUGAGUCUGAAGGGCCGCCCACCCCCCGCCCCUCUGUUUGGUGAUGAUGAGGAGGAGGAUGAUGAUCUAGACUGGCUGAACUGAGCUGUAUCCAGGAUAAAAUCAAAGUCUGCGUCUUCAUUUCCAGCAUAUAUAAAAAGGCGCAUGGUUCCUUCUGCAGCUGUGUCUGCCCUGUGGGAGCAGUGAAGAUGACAGGGGCGGCCUCUGCGGCUGGAUCUGAUUGGACG
Molecule: non-coding RNA, 1074 nt
Organism: Labrus bergylta (ballan wrasse)
Lineage: Eukaryota; Metazoa; Chordata; Actinopteri; Labriformes; Labridae
Source: RefSeq, a predicted model, not a curated record